AUAGGGGAAGCCGAAAACCUUUUAGAGUAGGUG
The submitters of this non-coding RNA (33 nucleotides) gave its source as unclassified sequences. The record is from Rfam.